GAUGAACGCUGGCGGCGUGCCUAAUACAUGCAAGUCGAGCGAACAGACGAGGAGCUUGCUCCUCUGACGUUAGCGGCGGACGGGUGAGUAACACGUGGAUAACCUACCUAUAAGACUGGGAUAACUUCGGGAAACCGGAGCUAAUACCGGAUAAUAUAUUGAACCGCAUGAUUCAAUAGUGAAAGACGGUUUUGCUGUCACUUAUAGAUGGAUCCGCGCCGCAUUAGCUAGUUGGUAAGGUAACGGCUUACCAAGGCAACGAUGCGUAGCCGACCUGAGAGGGUGAUCGGCCACACUGGAACUGAGACACGGUCCAGACUCCUACGGGAGGCAGCAGUGGGAAUCUUCCGCAAUGGGCGAAAGCCUGACGGAGCAACGCCGCGUGAGUGAUGAAGGUCUUCGGAUCGUAAAACUCUGUUAUUAGGGAAGAACAAAUGUGUAAGUAACUAUGCACGUCUUGACGGUACCUAAUCAGAAAGCCACGACUAACUACGUG
RNAcentral lists this ribosomal RNA (496 nucleotides) under uncultured bacterium. RNAcentral's name for it is "partial 16S ribosomal RNA". It matches the Rfam family "Bacterial small subunit ribosomal RNA", at positions 28 to 507 of the family's 1533-position model. The record is from RNAcentral.